GACCUGACUGCUAUCGGAUUGAUACUAAGCCAUGCGAGUCAUUGUAGCAAUACAAGGCAUACGGCUCAGUAACGCGUAGUCAACCUAACCUAUGGACGGGAAUAACCUCGGGAAACUGAGAAUAAUGCCCGAUAGAACAUUAUACCUGGAAUGGUUUAUGUUCCAAAUGAUUUAUCGCCGUAGGAUGGGACUGCGGCCUAUCAGUUUGUUGGUGAGGUAAUGGCCCACCAAGACUAUUACAGGUACGGGCUCUGAGAGGAGUAGCCCGGAGAUGGGUACUGAGACACGAAUCCAGACCCUACGGGGUGCAGCAGGCGCGAAAACUUGGCAAUGCGAGAAAUCGUGACCAGGGAACUCCAAGUGCAUCGGGUAAGACCGGUGCUUUUCUUGACUCUAAAUAGGUCUUGGAAUAAGGGGUGGGUAAGGACGGUGCCAGCCGCCGCGGUAAUACCGGCGCCUCAAGUGGUAGUCGCUUUUAUUGGGCCUAAAACGUCCGUAGCCGGUCUGAUACAUUCGUGGGUAAAUCAACCAGCUUAACUGGUUGAAUUCUGCGAGGACGGUCAGACUUGGGACCGGGAGAGGUGUGGGGUACGCUCAGGGUAGGGGUAAAAUCCUGUCAUCCUGAGCGGACCACCUGUUGCGAAGGCGCCACACUAGAACGGAUCCGACGGUCAGGGACGAAGCCUAGGGGCACGAACCGGAUUAGAUACCCGGGUAGUCCUAGGUGUAAACGCUGUGGACUUGAUGUUGGGGGUGCUCCGAGCACUCUCAGUGUCGAAGCGAAGGUGAUAAGUCCACUGCCUGGGAAGUACGGUCGCAAGGCUGAAACUUAAAGGAAUUGGCGGGGGAGCACCGCAACCUGAGGAUUGUGCGGUUUAAUUGGAUUCAACGCCGGAAAACUCACCAUAGCCGACGGACAAAUGAAGGUCAGUGUAAUGAACUUACCGGAUUGUUCGAGAGGUAGUGCAUGGCCGCCGUCAGUUCGUACCGCAAGGCGUUCUGUUAAGUCAGAUAACGAACGAGACCCUCAUCUCUAUUUGCUAACUGGAUCUCCGGAUUCAGUGCACUAUAGGGAGACCGCUGGCGCUAAGUCAGAGGAAGGGGAGGGCAACGGUAGGUCAGUAUGCUCCGAAUGCUAUGGGCUACACGCGCAAUACAAAGGACAGGACAAUGGGCUGCUGCUCCGAAAGGAAUGAUAGCUAUCCCGAAACCUGUUCGUAGUUCGGAUUGAGGGCUGUAACUCGCCCUCAUGAAGCUGGAUUAGGUAGUAAUCGCGUCUCAAAAAGGCGCGGUGAAUAUGCCCCUGCUCC
This 1310-nucleotide ribosomal RNA is filed under the name uncultured marine archaeon. RNAcentral describes it as "bacterial SSU rRNA". It matches the Rfam family "Archaeal small subunit ribosomal RNA", at positions 20 to 1336 of the family's 1478-position model. The record is from RNAcentral.